UUUUUUAUUUUUUUGUGGCCUCUUUGGCUAUUUCUUUUUAUCUCUCAUUUGUCCUCUUUGGGAUCUUUUGCUUGUGCUCUUUGGGAUCUUUUCCUCACUUAAGGGAAACACUCUAUGUUUUACAUGAAGAAAAAGAAAAAUCAUCACACUUUAUAAGAAGAACUCAACAUAAAGACAAGUGAAAACUAUCAUUAUGUAUGCAAAUGUAUGCCUCUG
RNAcentral lists this long non-coding RNA (216 nucleotides) under Hordeum vulgare. RNAcentral's name for it is "long non-coding RNA (HVUL_LNC001222)". Lineage: Eukaryota; Viridiplantae; Streptophyta; Magnoliopsida; Poales; Poaceae. The record is from RNAcentral.